This 397-nucleotide ribosomal RNA is filed under the name uncultured bacterium. RNAcentral's name for it is "bacterial SSU rRNA". It matches the Rfam family "Bacterial small subunit ribosomal RNA", at positions 505 to 898 of the family's 1533-position model. The record is from RNAcentral.
GUGUCAGCAGCCGCGGUAACACGUAGGGGGCGAGCGUUGUCCGGAAUCAUUGGGCGUAAAGAGCUCGUAGGCGGCUCAGUAAGUCGGGUGUGAAACCCCCAGGCUCAACCUGGGGACGCCACCCGAUACUGCUGUGGCUAGAGUCCAGUAGGGGAGUGUGGAAUUCCCGGUGUAGCGGUGAAAUGCGCAGAUAUCGGGAGGAACACCAGCGGCGAAGGCGGCACUCUGGGCUGGAACUGACGCUGAGGAGCGAAAGCGUGGGUAGCAAACAGGAUUAGAUACCCUGGUAGUCCACGCCGUAAACGUUGGGCACUAGGUGUGGGGACCCUCCAACGGUUUCCGUGCCGUAGCUAACGCAUUAAGUGCCCCGCCUGGGGAGUACGGCCGCAAGGCUAAA